Molecule: ribosomal RNA, 497 nt
Filed under: uncultured bacterium
Lineage: Bacteria
Description: partial 16S ribosomal RNA
Rfam family: Bacterial small subunit ribosomal RNA
Source: RNAcentral
GAUGAACGCUGGCGGCGUGCCUAAUACAUGCAAGUCGAGCGAACAGACGAGGAGCUUGCUCCUCUGACGUUAGCGGCGGACGGGUGAGUAACACGUGGAUAACCUACCUAUAAGACUGGGAUAACUUCGGGAAACCGGAGCUAAUACCGGAUAAUAUAUUGAACCGCAUGGUUCAAUAGUGAAAGACGGUUUUGCUGUCACUUAUAGAUGGAUCCGCGCCGCAUUAGCUAGUUGGUAAGGUAACGGCUUACCAAGGCAACGAUGCGUAGCCGACCUGGGAGAGUGAUCGGCCACACUGGAACUGAGACACGGUCCAGACUCCUACGGGAGGCAGCAGUAGGGAAUCUUCCGCAAUGGGCGAAAGCCUGACGGAGCAACGCCGCGUGAGUGGUGAAGGUCUUCGGAUCGUAAAACUCUGUUAUUAGGGAAGAACAAAUGUGUAAGUAACUAUGCACGUCUUGACGGUACCUAAUCAGAAAGCCACGGCUAACUACGUG